GUGCAGCAAACAUGACACAUGUAUACUUAUGUAACAAACCUGCACGUUCUACACAUGUACCCCAGAACUUAAAGUAUAAUAAUAAAAUAAAACUACAUUGCAUAAGGAAUAAAAUAUCUUACAUAUAUUUAAAGAAAAAAUUCUGGUUGCUGUUGACCUGGGCUCAGCCAGGCACAAUUUGACAUAUAUUUCCUGGCACGCUAUGGCAGCAGACUGUUAUCUUGGGAUAUUGAUUUGUGUUGCGCCUGUUCACGUUCCGUUUCUCCUUUUAUGCAGGUGGCUUAAGACUUUGGAAUCUUUACCUCCAGGACGAUAGGAGAAACUGCUUAAGUGAAAUCUUUCUGCCUAUUUUCCAGUGACUGUGUGAAUUGUACUGGAUGGAAUGGAGAGAAAGGGGUGGGAUCGUGGAGGGUACCUUUGUGGACAAGCAAGAAAAGAGAGACUCCCCAAAGGGACAAAGGCAAUAAAGCUUGGUAAAUCUGGGCAGGGUCCUGGGCCAGCAGAAGGACCUCAGAGAUGGGACGAAGAGUGUUGAGGAGGCUGGACCCUUUCACAAGGUCUCCAGCCUGGCCAAAGACUCCUGAUCCCCAAGAGAGGCCAGAAGAUGUCAGAGCUGCUGGGCAUAAAGGGAUUCUGUGGGCCAGGACAUCAGGUACCGCAGCAGAAACCAGAAUAGUGGCAUGAGAUGGAUUAAGGACACCUUCUUGACAUCCCAGGGCUGUGUACGUCUCAGCUCUGGGAGGCAGGAGCCCUAGCAGGACUGUGAUAGCACUUUCUGUGUGCGAGAAUUGGUCUCAGAUUGAUUUAAAGAAAAUAGAAAGGCCAGGUGCAGUGGCUGACACCUGUAAUCCUAGCAAUGUGGGAGGCCGAGACGGGUGGAUCACCUGAGGUCAGGAGUUUGAGACCAGCCUGGCCAACAUGAGAAACCCUGUCUCUACUAAAAAUACAAAAAUUAGCUGGGCGUGGUGGUGGGCACCUGUAAUCUCAGCUGCUCGGGAGGCUGAGGCAGGAGAAUUGCUUGAACCUGGGGCGGUGUUGGUGGAGGUUACAGUGAGCUGAGAUUGUGCCACUUCACUCCAGCCUGGGCAAAAGAGUGAAAUUCCAUCAAAAAAAAAAAAAAAAAAUAGAAAAAGUGGUUCUUCUUACCCAUCUAGCUUUGUGGGCUAAUGUGGGCUAAGACUCACAUCUGUCAUAUUAUUGAUUUUGGCUUUAUAUUGAAUAUUUUGUUGUUUUCUAAGGGAUAGCUGACAUUUAUGUACAUUAGCACCUUAUAUGCAUAGACUUAUUCCCACAGUUCUUACAAGGUUGGCCCUAUUGUGAUCUUUAUUUUGCAAAUGAGAGAAUAAUGAUAGAAAGAGUCUGCCCUAAUUUCCAGCUAGUAGGUGGUGGAAUGGGAUUUGAACCCAGGCUGGCUAGAUGUGGAGUCUGGUCACUCCCUGCUCCCUCCUCCCCCACCGCCCCCCACCGUGCUGCGUUGCUGGUAGAUGCCACUUCUUUGAAGACCAUGCUGUGUGCUUCCGUUUUCUUCAUGAGGCUUAACUCAAUGAAGGGCAUCAGAGGUAAUCAGCCAUCAUGGGUUGAUUCUCUGGUUGCUGACAUCAUAGGAAUUUACUUUCCUGUGCAAGGAGCCUGGUGCCUCCGUCCUGGAUCUGCUGGACACUGGCUGAGAGGUGAGGGUGGUUAGAGCUGAGCUCUCUUCAGCACUGUGCUCCGUCUCCUCCAUGCUUUCUGCUGCCCGCCCAGCCCUGGGAGGAACAGCUGGUCACCUUCAAGCUGUCUGUGUGUCCUCCCCAUGGUUUUGGUCUUUCAGGCUCUGUGAGGGGUGACUGGACUCUGGAACUCUGUGCCACAGUCACGCUCCUCUCUUUGACACACUUUGCAGUGUGACUCCCAGGAGUGAUUGCGGAACGAUCCCCAGGGAACCCGCUGAUGAACAGCAAAGAUGUUGAGAGCUGGGGUGGUGACAGAGGGAACCCUCUAGACAAGUCCUGAUUUUUGUUGGAAGACAUUUAAAAGUCUCAUCCAGUGCAGAGAGACAAGGCCCCCAUGGGAGCCAAAUUCCCUCUCAAACUCAGUUUUGUUUCCAGAAGAGGUCACUUUUAGCGCUUAUAAUUUUAAUUUGAAAUUAAAUGUGCCUUUGGGACAGAAGCAAUCUGUGCUGGGGGUGUCUUCACAACAAGGGUGACAGUGUGAAUGCUCAUAGCGUGCAACACCAGGGCCUAGCCAGGGACCACAGAGCAGUGAUUCAUGCCAUCUGGGGCCUGCCGUGCCGUGAACUCCAGGAGGAAGCUGCGUGACUGAGAGCUUUUGUCGCUCAGGGGCUGGAGGGUGAAAUAUGAACCCUUUCUGUUUCCUUGCCUUGUUCUUGUCUGAGCCCAGACAGUGGCCUGAGCUGAGGUCUGGGAGACAGGCAAGCAGGCUGUUUCUAGCAGGCUCGUGCUGGCCUCCCACAGGACCAUGGGUCUCUUUCUGCUGUCCCUGUCAGGCUGACCCCAACCCGCCCAGUGUUAGGAUUGUCAGACCAUCUCUCAAAUUCAGAGCAACUCCUCAAACAUGAAUAACCUCAGACUGAAUCGGCCUUUCCUGGAAGAUUCACCCUUGGCAGUUUGGGGUUUUGAAUUUGGUGGUUUCUGAAAAGCACACACACAGCUGCUGCAGAGGAGGCUGUGGGGCUAUGGCAGCUCCAUGCUGGGCAUCCGAUCCCACAGACUGUGCGCUGCCCCCACUCCCCAGCCAAGACGGAGAAUAACUAGUGACAGGCUGUGUCUCUCCAAGGGUUGCUGGAGAGAACUAGUCAGGCGCUGGUCCUCUGGCCUUUGUUUAGGUUUCAUGUAUGUUGAGUUGAACAAACCAACCUGCCCCGCACAUCGCAGAAACAAAGACGGCCUUUGUUUUUCAUGAUGACAUCACUUUUCUUCUUUUUUUUUUUUUUUCAGACAUGGUUUCAUUCUGUUACCCAGGCUGGAGUGCAUUUGUGCGAUCACGGCUCACCCCAGCCUCAAACCCCCGGGCUCAAGUGAUCCUCCCACUUCAGCCUCCCAAGUAGUUGGGACUGCAGGGGUAUACCGCCAAGCCCUGGGUCAUUUUUGAAAUUUUUAUAGAGACAGGGUUUCACCAUGUUUCUCAGGCUGGUCUGGGCCUUGGCCUCCCAAAGUGCUGAGAUUACAGGCAUGAGCCACCACAUCCAGCCACUUGUUAAGAUUGAGAACAGAGUUGCUGGCCCUCCUUCUAUGUAAGCUCCCAGUCUGUCUGUAGAGGCCAGCCUUAAGGUAACUGUACCUGCUGCUCAGAUGGCCCAAGCAGGAGGAUCCCAGGUGUGAUAUUGAGUACAUUGGUCAUCCCCCUGCCUCCCACCUGAAUGGAAACAGUCUGAGAGCCCCCUCUGUGGCUUGGUGCUAGGCAGGACCUUAGGGCUUGCAGGUGAAUUGAUGAGGGAGAUGAACACUGACCUGCGUCCUCUUCCCAGCAUGGGACUUGAAUGUUGCUCUUGGUACACAUUUCUGCAGAUGUGUCUCUGGCUCUAAGGAUGCAGAAUAUUGGUGGGUCCAGUGUAGGGGCUGCCAAAGGGGGUGUCAUGUGCUCUGUGGAUAUUCUCACGAUUGUAAUGGUCCCCACUGAAGUGUUUCUGUUUGUUGCAGUAAAACCUCUCCUCAGUGUCUAUUACUUUUCUCUAUAUUCUUGGUGAAGGAGAGAGAUGCUCAUAGGGGCCUGAAUGAGGUAGGAAGAGCAGAUGCUGUUCUCUGCUUCCUCCUCUUCACCAGCAUUCCUUCUGCCCUGUUUUUCCUGGCAGGAUCAGCUCUACUCUGGGCAGUCCAAGCCUGUGAACCAGCACACCGAGGAUCUGUGUUGGAGCUCAGUCGACUGUUUUGGAAGAGUCGCCCAGAGAAGCAGUGUGGUCUCCCAUUCAGCAACAGAGCUGGAGUGCGAUGGUGCAAUCUUGGCUCACUGCAACCUCUGCCUCCUGGGUUCAAGCAAUUCUCCUGCCUCAGCCUCCCGAGCAGCUGGGAUUACAGGUGUGUACCACCAAGCCCACCUAAUUUUUGUAUUUUUAGUAGAGAUGGGGUUUUGCCAUGUCGGCCAGGCUGGUCUCAAACUCCCUACCUCAAAUGAUCCACCUGCCUCGGCCUCUCAGUGCUGGGAUUGUAGGUGUGAGCUACUGCGCCCGGCCCAAAUGGGCCUUACCCUCUUAUAACCAAAUACUUGUGUCAGAGAAACUAGCUUGCUUUUAUAUCAAGAUUAUCAUCCUGGAUUUUGAUAAUGCUGCAGAAAUAUUGUCAAGCGUUGUUCAGUCGGCUCUGCUCUUUCCAAGUUAAGGUGAACUAAGGGAGCCAACCACAGGAAGGGUUUCCUGCCUCUUUUUUCUCCUCCCCUUAACCCUUUGCUUAAAAAGCUCUCUGAGGCCAUAAACUACUAGGACACAACUCCCUGGUAGUCAUUUAUAACUAUGUUUCUGUUUAUUUUUUGGACCAAUAACUUAAUUUGAUAGGGUUAUGGGAAAUCCUGUGGUCCUGUAGCUGAGAAGAGUGUGGGUCCAGACUGAGGAGGUCCUUUGGGAUCUGUUGCUUCUAUCAUUGGCCUGACCCACUCUGGAAAAAAGAGGCUCAAAUUCAGACCUCUUGGAGAAAAAGAAGAAAGGGCUUCAUUCGAAGUGGGGAUUUAAGAAAAAAGUGAGUCAGAGACAUCUAUUUGUAGUCUUGAACUAGAUUUUAAGGCAAAGCAGGAUCUCAGAUGAGAUUGAUAGAUGAUGUGCUUGGAGUCCACAUCCCAUUCCUGUUGAUAUGUUUCACCUCUUUCUAUUACCGGGAUGUGAUUACUUCAAAGCCAGGAAGAACUACAAUCUAAUUUUAGAGGGAUGCCCUUCUUGUACACAUUGGAGAGUAUAUAUGUUAAUAUAUGACAUAUAUAUCUAUAUAAUUUUAGUGGUUGUAUAAGAAAAACUGGGAUAGGUAAACAAAAAAGACCAGCUGAAAGUCUACCUAUGAAGGAUUCAGGUUAACAUAGUCACUUAUAUUGCCUCUACUACAGAUCUGUGGGGAUGAUUUUUAUGUGUUGUGAAGGGUUGUCUCUGAAUUUCCUGUAAAGUUUGGCAUUUUUAAAUUUUUUUGACUCUUCUCCUUUUAAAUAUAUAUAUUGGAAACUUGGCUGUUUGUUUCCAGAGCGUCACAGUGAACCAACAGACCAGCACCUCUUCAUAUGUAACCACCUCUUCAUAUGUAACCACCUCUUCAUAUGUAACCACCUCUUCAUAUGUAACCACCUCUUCAUAUGUAAUCCACCUCUUCAUAUGUAACCACCUCUUCAUAUGUAAUCCACCCUUCAUAUGUAAUCCCCUGGGACAGUCCAUCUCAAUGCCCCAAAGAAACACUCUCCUGGCAGAAUAAGGGUGAAGAUAAAGAGGGCGAUGGCCUAUUCCUGUGCCUAUCUGGGAGCACAUGUAGGUAUGAGUAACAACACCAAGAGAUGCCAAGGGGAAAGAAGUUGUGGGAGCCCAUGGAAUGCAGGAGGGAAAUAUGAAUCCUGUGAAGGGCAAGGUGGUUUCUUUGUGUGGACAACCCUGAUAAAGCAAUGAAAAUGGAUAAGGACAGUAAGGACAAGUGCCCUCCAAGGCAUUAAGGAAAAUGAGAUUGUAGCAUGGAGAAAGAAAAGAAAGGAGAGAGAGAAAAAGUAGUUGGAAAAGUAAAUGACUCAAACCUUCCAUUACUGAAAGUUCCAAAUGUUUCUUUAAUGGCGAUCACCAGAUUGUAGGCCUUCAUUUUGCCCUGGCCAGCAUUCCUCAUCUUCCUGUUCAUAACAAAGAUGAGUUUCUCUUCUGACCACUAGAGGUCUCUAGAGACUCACAGAUCAAUGUCUGAAGUCUGAUACCCUCUUGCUAUCAACCACUCUGGGAGGUUUAUUUUUCCAAAAUGAAUAGUCACAUAGUCACAAGAGAUCCAAGGCCUGAAUCUUAAAUUUCUAAAAAUUAAAAAAUAUAUAUAGCUGCUUCAGUGGGUAGCUGCCUACUCAACUUCAAGCUGGCACUGACCAUCAUCCCUCAAAUAUGUCCCUUGCUAUUUUGAUGGUAGAAAUUCUGCUGUUACUCUGUGUAAUAGAGCCUAAUUUAUACAAUAUGAUAUAGAGUUAUACCAUAGUAUGAGUGACUCUGCUGGGUCUUUGCUAUUGUGAUUGCGAAGGAUGACAGAUCAGGGUUGGUGGGGAGACGAGGAGGGCAAUGAAAGAGGAGCUGAAGACAAAUUUCACCUAGACACCAUUGCAGAGGUCCUCUUCCAACUUCCUGCCCCUCAGUAAGUGCUGCGGGCAUGUAACCCAACUCUGGGGUCAAGUGAACAAACUGCCCUCAGCUUCCUUAAGCCUUUCUGUUCAAAACGAUGACUUCCAGACUUUCCUGGGACACUGACAUUAUCAUCUCUGGAGUCCUUGAUGUGACUCUCUUCCUGGCCACAUGGACUGUAGCUAUUUUGGGCGUGACCAACAUGUUUGAUAGUGCCGGUGAUGACAAGUGUACAUUUCAACAUUCUGUUAUUUAGAAUACUCAUGUAAUUAUUUGUAAUGAAUCAUUGAUGACAUCUGGAGAACAAUGAAGUCUUCUUUAAAUGUUUGGACAAUUAGCUAUGGGAAAUUUUUACUUUGAUGAGCUUUCAUUUUUAUCUCAAGAAUUUUGGAAUUAUUUCCUGUUGCAUUCUGGUAUGCAUUAAUUUUUCCUACAUUUAUCCACCCAUCAAACAUAUAUUGAGAGUCUAUUAUUUUCCUCUUCUGCAGAAGGCUCUGUGAAUAUGAGGAUGAAUAGGAAGAAUAGGGCAGUGUUCUCAAGAAGUCCAUCAGUGGGUAAGAGGGUCAGAGUGUUGAGGUGGUUACAAAGUGCAUGAUAAAUAGAGAAGUAAAAAGUGCAUUGGGACUAGGAAAAAAUAAAAAAAUACUUCUAGAAAAAUAAAGUUAUCUUUCUCAGCUUGUUUGAAAGUCAUCAUCUGUUGUCAUUGUUUUUUUAGCAGGGAACAGUAAUCUGUUAAUUCACCCUGAUGCCUUAGAUACAAUUAUUAAUUGCUUGUUGCUCUUUUAAAAGGUGCUUACCACAGGGCUGAAGGGUAGAGUGCAUGGAAGGCAAUAUGGCCAGAGCCUACUGGUGUAAUCCAUUCCACAGGAGUGACCUCUCAUCUGUUCAGAGGAAGACCAGUGGUUGGUGGGGUUGCCCGUGUUUUCACAGUGGAUUUCCUGAAGCUCCUGAGAAAAUUUGGAGAAAUAUAUCCUAUCAAGAAGCUUGAAGGAAUCAGACAGCUGCUCCAAAAGGGUCAGACACUGAGAUCAAUUGCCCAUCCUUGGUUCCUGCUCUGAAUCGACAUCAGUUUGCAACUAGUCAUUUCAUAAAUCAAGGAAAAGAAGAAAGGUAAAUUAAUGACUCUGUUAACUAGAGGGGCUCUGAAAUUUCUGCUUUACAUGUACUCAUUUCGGAUUUCACUUUUAUUAUAACCAACUUGCAAACACAGCAUUGCAAUUGUAUAUGCACCUCCCAAAGAUGCUGGGAAGCAGCGGAUAUUUCAUCAUUUGAGGACAGCUUGUGCCUGCAAGUGGCAGAGGUGCUGGAGGAGACAAAUAAAAGGGAUCUCUUUUCCAUGAAUCUCUGUCUUCUGAGCUGAAAGACAAUUGACAAGUUGGCUGAUAAGACCUUGGAGAAAGAAGAUAUUUUAAAACUUUAAUUGAAAAUCCCCAUUCCUUCCAUUCAAGAAGCAAAAGAGGAAACUCUAAUGAUGGGCACACUGGUGCUAGUAUCAGCCUUUUUGAUCACACGGUGUGGACCAGCCCACCUUGGAGUUCACUGUGCUGGUGGCCUGAUCCUAAUCCAAGUCCUAAUGGAGCUCUGGAAAAUGGCUGUAGCUUUUCUGAGCAGGAGCAAAUCUGUUUCUGGUUCUUAAGGACUAAAAAGCCACCUCCUGCCUCUAAAGUGCUUGAAGACACAGUAGGAAGGCACCAGAGGGCAUUCUCAGACCAUCUAUUAUCAAGGAAAUACAGCUGGAAAGUACAAAACAAGUCUCCACUUUGGCCAGUUUUGGAUGUAGUGGUGGUUUCUAUCACACACUCAGGAACACUUGGAGUCUGAAAGCUGCCAUGCUAAAAAAAAAACUGCAAUUCAACCCGGGGGUAUCAGCAGAGGCAUUUGAAUGACUGACUGCAGGCUGCCCAUCCUUCUGCUCCUGUACUGAUACCAAGGAUGCCCUGGGCAGGCAACAUGGACAAGCAGAGAGACCUCUGGCCUGAAAGAUCAGAGAUGUGGGGAUCUUGGUUCCAGCAUUAACUGCUUUCUUGACCUUCAGCAAAUUACUUUGUGCUCCAAAUCUUAGUUUUCUCAUCUGUAAAAUGAAGAUACGAAACAAUACGUGAAGAUCAUUUUGAAGUCUCUCAGUGGUUGAAUUCCUUCCUUUUUUUACUCUCCUUCCCUCCCUUCCUUCCUGAUUAAACUGAAGGAGAAACUGGGAUAUAUUAAUAUCAUGUUUGGAGUAGAUAUGUUAUGACCUUCUAGUGCUGAAGAGACAGCCUCUGAGGAUUGGCAAUGCACACUGCUCAUUGUCGAGUUGAAAGCUGAGCACCUAGGGUGUGAGUGGCUUUCAAGUUGAUUCAGGCUUUUCUGACUGGGGCAUGUGCACCUUCACAGUUGGAACAGCCAUGGGACAUAUAUAGUCUAGCGUCUUGGAACAUUGAUUCUACAUGAGAAUUCUGGAGAAAAAUAUGACAUUUUUAGUGUUAAACAGAGAUAUUAUGGAACAUAGGUUGAAUUUUUGCUGCAUUUUUGCAGUGAAAAAAGACUAAAAAUAUGGGGUUUGUGGUUGGAUGCUUUUGGGUGUACUUUCGUAUCUCCUGACAUUAUAAUUAUCUCUUUGUAUUAUUUGGAGUGUACUGGAGGGAAAUUUUGGGGAAGCUUACCCCUAGGGGUACAUUUUGAAUGUAUCUCAGGUUGAGUUUCCUUGAAGCAGAGCCUGAGGCAAGCAUUCGCCCACAUGCCAUUUCCUGAGAGCCUGGCAUAUUCUUUAUGGGGAACAACUUGCCAAUAAGUGAGAGAAGCAGGAUAGGAAAGGGCAAAGAGCUGUACAAUGAUGUGGUCUCAAGGAAUGUGAUCUGAUUCAUUGUGUGUGUGUGGGUGGGGGCGGCUGGGUUCUGAUGAAUAAUUCACUCCCCAGAAUUGACCACCUGAGGCAAGGGGGAUAGAAUUGUGUACACCCAUAUCAGUUGGUCAUUAUUUACAGGUAUAUAUGGGUGAAGCCUAAAAGGGGACACUCUUCAGUCAGGAGGCAAUUCCCCAGAGAAAGGAACAGCUAUAAGCUGUAUGUAGCCAUGGCAUGCUGGAGUCAGCUCAUCACAGCUUAAAAUUGCUGACUGCACAUCCCUUCCCAAAUGCCCAUUCUGUGACUUCACCCUGACAGCCUGCAAUCGGCCAAGAUGGAACCAUUUACAUCAUGAAAAUCAACAAAAGCUACAAAUCCCAGGCCUUAAACUCCCACAAGCAGCCAGAUGUUAAACGUUUACCAGCACAGCCCUGGCCAACCUUCUCUGCAGCAAGAGGCUGGUGUCCUGGCUGGUGAAGGGGAUCAGAGCAGGGCACCAACAGCAUUUACUGCAUUGGAGUUACAGAAGAUUUGCCAACAAAUUAUCUCCCCAGCUAAUUUGUCAGUUGGCAAGCCAUUCCUUUAGGAGUUGCCUUUCCUAACCAGAAGAGGAGAUGCAUACAGUAUUGAGAAUCAUAGGACUAAGAAUCCACCACGCUCCAGUCAAAAUGACUGAGUACGUUUUAUAAGUGCAAGAGAAGGGCAGAGAGGAGGUGAGGAAAGAGUGUGUCAUCUGAAUCACCUGCAGUAACAAGAAAGGGCUUUGUUAUACUGUCUAGGGGCAGAAUUUAGAAUAGCUAUAACACUAUAGUAUUUUUUGGAAGAAUUUUUUUUUCAGAAUUUAUUAUUUAAAACCCUGCACUUGACUGAGAUGAUGGAUAGUUAGACUUCUUAUUAUAAGAUUAUUAAGGAAAAGUUCAAAUAUACAUAAAAGUAUAUCAACAGCUAAUGAAGAGUGUAAUAAACCCUCACAUACUCAUCCCUCAGAUUCAAAAAUUAACUUAUAAUCAAUCUUAUUUCAUUCACACCUCUACUCACUUCCUCGUGGGAGCAUGGGAAGUUUUGGAGACAUAGUUAAUUGAAUUAAAGUUGAAUGUGGGUAGCAAAAAGCCAGAGGCUGGGUGUGGUAGCUUACACCUGUAAUCCCUGGAUUUUGGAAGUCUGAGGCAGGCAGAUUGCUGGAGCCCAGGAGUUUGAGACCAGCCUGGGGAACAUGGCGAAACCCUGUCUUUACUAAAAAUACAGAAAUUGGCCAGGUGUGGUGGUUCAUACCUGUAAUCCCAGCACUUUGGGAGGUCAAGGUGGGUGGAUCACAAGGUCAGGAGUUCGAGAUCAGCCUGGUUAAUAUAGUGAAACCCUGUCUCUACUAAAAAUACAAAAAUUAGUUGGGUGUGGUGGUGGGCGCCUGUAGUCCCAGCUGCUCGGGAGGCUGAGCCAGGAGAAUCGCUUGAACCCUGGAGGCAGUGGUUGUAGUGAGCUCAGAUCAUGCCACUGCACUCCAGCCUGGGCAACAGAGUGAGACUCUGUCUCAAAAAAACCAAACCAAACCAAAAUCAAAACCAACCAACCAAACAAAAAAUACAAAAAUUAGCUGAGUGUGGUGGUAUGUGCUAGUUACUUGGGAGGCUGAGGUAAAAGUAAAAUGCUUGAGCUCUAGAGGUUGAGGCUGCAGUGAGCCAUGAUUGUGCCACAGCCCUCUGGCCUGGGUGAUAGAGCAAGGCUCUGUCUCACUGAAAAAAAAAUAAAUAAAAAUAAAAGGCAGAUUUGAGGAAUUUACCAAGGAGUGUGGGAAAGGAUUUGACAGAUGGAAGACACAGCAACUAAUGGACCACUUCCCUAACCUAUUAGGAUCUAGUAGGAAUCAUUAGAAGACACAUGAAAUGCAUUGCAUGAGACAUGUAUUCUGAUUACCCUGGCAACUUUUAUCUCCAGCUCUUUCUAAAAUGAAGAACCAGAAUGAAAAGAAGAGUUACGAGGUUCCUAUGAAAGGAACUCGGUACUUCUUUGCUCUGUGAAUACUUCUUUUUCCCCUGGGCUUUCUCUUUCUCUUCAGGUAGGCAAGAGAAAAAUGUCAAGACAAUUUCUGGGUACAAAUUCUAAAUGAUAUUCCAUCCUAAAAGCAAGGCUUGUUGCCACCGUAACAAGAUAAGAAUCUUAAUUCUUUUUUGAUGGGCAAAGAAAUGUUAUUAGAAAACAGAAGCAAGCUUGGACCUUCUUAUGAUAGGUUUACUGGACUUACAGUGAUGGAUUAUGGCCUAUACACAAGACUCAUCUUUCUUUUUCCUUUCACAGUCUUUGUUGAUCUGUGAUAAGAGAUGGCUUCUGACCUUUUUCUAAGAAUAACAGGUUUCCUUCUCUGCUUUCUGGCCAUUCUGCUUUCCCUCUUACUGGCUCCUAUGCCAAAGAUAACACAUGUGAGUGCUUGACAAUCUGGAGUUGAAAGAAGUUGUUUGAAAGAAGUUGUUAUGGGGCCUCAGGAAGCACAUGUUUGAAAAAUUAAUUAAUUUGUAUGAAUUAAUAAACUAGGGAAAACUUGGUUCAGUCAUAAUAUAUUUAUCACUAGAAUCUUCUACCAAGGAUAGUUGGAAGUAGACAAAUGACUUGAAAAAUUAGACCUUUGGGAGCUUCAGAAAGUCAGUGCUGAGGGAAGAGUAGAUACAACAGCAGAGAAACAGCUCUGUCUAGAUUACUGUCUAGCUGGUUUCUUUUUUUUUUUUGAGACAGAGUCUCACUUUGUCGCCAGGUUGGAGUGCAGUGGUGCAAUCUCUGCUCACCACAACCUCUGCCUCCUGGGUUCAAGUGAUUCUCCUGCUUCAGCCUGCUGAAUGGCUGGGAUUACAGGCAUGUGCCACCACGUCCAGCUAUUUUUUUUUUUAAUUUUUAGUAGAGACGAGGUUUCACCAUGUUGGCCAGGAUGGUCUCAAUCUCUUGACCUUGUGAUCCUCCUGCCUCGGCCUCCCAAAGUGCUGGGAUUAUAGGUGUCAGCCACCGUGCCUGGCCUUGUCUAGCUAAUUUCUAAUAAAGUGGCUGAAGCUACUUAAUUGGAAUUGCCCUAGAAAAAGCCCUGUACUUUGUUCAUGUGGGGAACCUGAGAAAGAAGCUCCCAGAUGCUAUAGACAAGUGCAUGAGCUAUUUAUUGACAGAAGGUUUUCACUUGCCAGUUGUGUGGAAGAGGUUGUUGACAGGUUGUGACUAAAAGGCAGAAAAUAAAAGAAAGCAUUCUUUUCUAAGGGAUGGUUAUGAGUGAAGAUUGGAAAAGGCUGUGCAAGCAUCGAUUCCUACAACUCAUCUCUUCUAGCUAGUAAAUCUUGAAGAUAAAUUUAAGUUUAAAACUGACCAUAGGCUGGCUGAAUUUCUGUUGAGGUUUUUUCACAGUUAUUGGGAAUCAGACUUAAUUCUUUCAGUGGGCUUCUUGGCCUCUUUAUUGGAACCCACUUUUCAUUGUUUCUUUUUCACUGAGAUGUCAUGAUGUGAAAGUAAAAGCAAUUUGCAAUCAAGGUACAUAAAUAUUUCUGACCUCUUACCAAACAAAAAAACAGAAUAGUAUUGAACAUAUACAUGUAUGUGUGUAUAUUAGCAAAAGUCGAUUUGUUAAAAAGACUUUAUUUUUUAAAGAAAAAGACAUUUUAAGAGCAGUUUUAGGUUCAUAGCAAAGCUGAGAGCUCUCCCUGUAUCUCCCUAUAUAUCCCUGCCCCAACAUAUGCAGAGCUUCUGUCAUUAUUAACAUUCCCCCCUACCAGAGUGGUACAUUUCUUACCUACAUUGACACACCAUAAUUACCCAAAGUCUGUGUUUAGAUUAGGGCUCACUGGGUGUUGUACAAUCUAUGAGUUUUGACAAAUGUACAAUGAUAUGUAUCUGUAGUAUCAUAUGGAAUAAUUUCAGGAUUUCAUUUAAAAUAACUUUAUUCUUGAUAACUUUUGUUCUCUCAGGUUGCCCCUGACUUGGCCCCAGAUCAAGCAUGGUAACUGCAUGUUACAAGAUGCAUAUAAGUUCAUGUUAUAAAAAGUGCAAUGAGAUCACACGUUUUUGUAAGAGAAUAUACUUGGUGAAACCUAGGGGAAAUAAUUUUGAAAUGCAAAAUUGUUACCCAAAGCAACAAAAUCCACAGGCAGAAUGAAAAUGUUAGUGUUCACUUAGCCCAAGUGGAGGGCUCCUUAAAUUCAGGAUCAUUCUUGCACAUUGAUUCUGAGUAGAGACCAACAGACAACGGGUCUUCAAACACUCUUUUACAAGAACCUCCUUUGAGUUCGUUUUGAACUUCUGUGACCCAAGUUCUUUCAAAAGGAGAAAACAUAAUCACUUGGGAAUAAGUUCCAAUCAACCUGAUUCACAUUAGCUUGUCUUUUGGGUAGAACAAGUGCCAGUUACCUUUAUUUUCCCCUGUGGUAUAAUAAAUGGGAUAAUUUCAGGUAGCCUCCGUGACCAAAUCCUAAAUCUACUUUGACAGUAAAUAUGUGGCAAUGGCUUUAAUCACCUUAAAAUUUU
This is a non-coding RNA of Callithrix jacchus (white-tufted-ear marmoset), 13577 nucleotides long. The record is from RefSeq and is a predicted model, not a curated record. Lineage: Eukaryota; Metazoa; Chordata; Mammalia; Primates; Cebidae.